Molecule: ribosomal RNA, 1197 nt
Filed under: Triticum aestivum (bread wheat)
Lineage: Eukaryota; Viridiplantae; Streptophyta; Magnoliopsida; Poales; Poaceae
Description: partial small subunit ribosomal RNA
Source: RNAcentral
AUGAAACGGGCGGCGUCUUCACUUCCGCUCCACGAUGACUUGCUCCUCGAGAUCGUCACCUGGCUCAAAGACGACAUGGCGGCGCUCUUUCGGUGCGCCAUGGUGUGCAAGCUGUGGCGUCGCCUCGUGGCAAAUCCCUCCUUCCUCCGGCGCUGUUGGCCGGAGGACACGUCCGCCUCAAUCACCGGCUUCUUCACGAGGGAGCAACGCCCUGGACAAGGGGUGGGGGCGCCGUGCUUCGUCCCUGCGCCGGGGUCGGCGAUGGGCCGUGGUUGCCAUGCCCUUACCACCUUCGUGCAGCCUACCGGCCAGAAGUUAGAUCACGCGGAGCCGCUUGUCUCACGCCACGGCCUCCUACUCGUGCGCCUUCCCUCCCAUGGCUCGAGGGUCGUCCACCUGGCGGUGUGCAAUCUGCUCGUCGGCGAGUGCCACGUUCUACCACCUCUAAAGUGCGGCAAGGUCGACCCCCUUCACUUGGACUGGAGUGGGUACGCUAUUUUGAGUGGUGUGGAUAGCUGCUCUUACAACCAGCAGCCACCACCGAGCAACGAUGCGUCGUCCUUCAAAGUGGUAAUCAUCGACCUGGACUACAAUCUCUACACGUUCGCAUCUGAUAAAGGGAGCUGGAGCACGGCGAGCAGAUGCUUCGGCGAUGAGGCUACCAGCAACUAUACCGCGGUUUAUCAUGGCCCUGCCGUCGUGUGCCGCGGCACGGCACACUGGCUCUUUUACGAAGGGAUGAUGCCAGGUUUAUGCAUUGUUGGUAUGGAAGCUAAGACGGGCCACAUCACCUUGACAAGGAUCCCCUUUGAGAUGGACGACAUGAGAUAUCGCCCGUGCCUUACCCUCUCCACCGAUGGGACACUUUCGCUAAUCUAUAUCGAAAGGGAAGAUGCCCGGGUACUUAUCUGGGAAAUUUUGGACGAGACUACAAACUGCCUCUGCACUCGGAGUAUCGAGUUACAAGAACCAGGCAAGAAGCUUACUCAAAGCAUAUCAAGCUUGCACAUGUUAGGAGAAAAGUACGGGACGAUGAUUGCCCAGGGCAGUAGUUUGUGCGUGUAUGUUGUCGACCUUGAAACCGAGACGGUGGAGGAGCUGCUAGAUUGGCCUAACCGUCAUGCUAACCGUGUGGAUGUCGUGCCAUUGCAAAUGAGUUGGUUGACAUUCUUCCUUUCUCGGCUUGGUAGUCGGUAG